RNAcentral lists this ribosomal RNA (254 nucleotides) under uncultured bacterium. RNAcentral describes it as "partial 16S ribosomal RNA". It matches the Rfam family "Bacterial small subunit ribosomal RNA", at positions 524 to 776 of the family's 1533-position model. The record is from RNAcentral.
UACGGUGGGAGCAAGCGUUGUUCGGAUUUACUGGGCGUAAAGGGCGCGUAGGCGGUCGUGACAAGUCACUUGUGAAAUCUCCGGGCUUAACUCGGAACGGUCAAGUGAUACUGUCGGACUAGAGUACAGAAGGGGCAACUGGAAUUCUCGGUGUAGCGGUGAAAUGCGUAGAUAUCGAGAGGAACACCUGCGGCGAAGGCGGGUUGCUGGGCUGAUACUGACGCUGCGGCGCGAAAGCCAGGGGAGCGAACGGG